AACGAACGCUGGCGGCAGGCCUAACACAUGCAAGUCGAACGAGACCUUCGGGUCUAGUGGCGCACGGGUGCGUAACGCGUGGGAACCUUCCCUUAUGUUCGGGAUAACUCCCCGAAAUGGGUGCUAAUAUCGGAUAAUGUCUGCGGACCAAAGAUUUAUCCCCCUUGUAUGGGCCCGCGUUGUAUGAACUAGUUGCUAGGGUAAAAGCCUACCAAGGCUACGAUCCAUAGCUGGUCUGAGAGGAUGAUCAGCCACACUGGGAGUGGGACACGGCGCAGAAUACUACGGGAGGCAGCAGUGGGGGAUCUUGGACAAUGGGCGAAAGGAUGAUGCAGUACUGCCGCGUGAGUGAUGAAGGCCUUAGGGUUGUAAAGCUCUUUUACCCGGGAUGAUAAUGACAGUACCGGGAGAAUAAGCACCGGCUAACUCCGUG
This 433-nucleotide ribosomal RNA is filed under the name uncultured bacterium. RNAcentral describes it as "partial 16S ribosomal RNA". It matches the Rfam family "Bacterial small subunit ribosomal RNA", at positions 29 to 507 of the family's 1533-position model. The record is from RNAcentral.